Molecule: long non-coding RNA, 6526 nt
Filed under: Pan troglodytes (chimpanzee)
Lineage: Eukaryota; Metazoa; Chordata; Mammalia; Primates; Hominidae
Description: long non-coding RNA NONPTRT011825
Source: RNAcentral
CCCUGACCGUCAGGAAAUCUCCUCUGCGGCCCUAGCAUGGCCCAUCUCAACGCAGUGUCUCCCACUUCUUCAUCUUAAAAAAUUGAUUUAAAACACCCCCUCGCUUCCUUUCCAGAUCUGGCUGGCUGGGCUAUGUGCGGGCAUCAGCAUUUCUGACCCAUCCCAAGCAGAAAGCAGGUGAAGGACUUUGCCCAUUCUCUAUAGACAGGUGGACCAGAGUCAUGAGCUCUCAUGGAAAGUUUCGUUUAUACGGAGACAUGAAGGUUAAGCAUUAUUACACAGGUACUCGCAGAGCUAUGCUCUGCACACAGAGCCAGGGCUGGCUGGGCGAGAGGGCUCUGAUUGGAGACAGGUGCCUUGGGGAGAGUUGAGGAACGACUUGGGGAAGGUGGCUGGCCUUCCUUCCAGGCGGGGCCUGGGGACUUGGUCUGCAUGUGUCCUUUGGUCUAGAAUUUGGUCUGAGAGUCUUAUAAGAAGAGGCCUUCCUCAGGCCAUGUCCAGAAUGUUGCAAUUGGCCUACCAACCCAAACUACUGUGGCCUUUCACCCAGGGAGCCCCCGCUGGGGAGAUGAAGACUGAAAUGACCACAAAUGCCCAGGUAGCCACUGCGUGCCAAGUCCCCUCUUCCCCACGUGCCACCUGCCCUCAAUCAUUGACAGUGGUUAGUUUACUAAAGUUAUAUAAGACAAAGGAAAACAGGUCACAAUGCUACUCCAUAAAAUCAGGGAAAAAACAGUAAAAUCAAAUCAGACACAACGGCAACCAUAAAUACAUAGAAAAACAGGAACAAGAUAGAAUCGUUGAGAGUUUGGAAUAGGACUGGGUGUUGUUUGGCAGAGUAGAUAGCUUUGGAAACAGUGAAAUAUGUAUGCCUGCCAAAGAUGGGGUUCAGAAUUGCCCCUUGGGAGGGGGACACCAAAGGCGUACUCCUCCUCCCAAAUUCAAGAAGGGGGUUUCCAGGGUUCCAAGAGCCCCUGCUGUGAAAAUUCUGCGGUCUGCACCCCUCGAGGCAGUGACUGCCUUUGUGCGUGGUCAUGUUUCGGUUUCAUUUAGACUGAGCUUGGAAGUGACUGUUCAAAUGGCACAGUUUAGGUCCAAAUAGGGGCUGGGUGGGGGUGUGUCUGCCCUGGGGGUUUGAAAGGUAUAUAGUACCUUCUCUCCCGGUUCAGAGACAACCUCUGCUCCACAUAAGGCCCUUGAUCAAGCCAGUUCUGGGGGGCCAGGACCCUGACAAUCCCAACCUUCUAGAAAACUCUCCUAGGCCUUCUCUUUUGGGUCCCCAGGUGGGAAAUGUCUGUAAACCCAGGUAUUGCAGGGGAUUUGAAGUGAAGAGCUUUGUUAUAUCCUAGGUCAGCACCACGGGCUGCCCUUGUUCUGAACUGGGAGCACUUCCCCCAGUGGAGGAUCCAGACUCAAAAGCUGUUCUUGGUGUGCCUUGCUAGGUGCCAGGGCAGCCCAGGGUGGCAUCUUUAAUGAGGGCUUGGCAGGAGUCUCCCAGGCUGAGAGUGGGGAGUGGGGAGAUGAGGAAAGAAAGCACCCCUCCCCGACACCGGGCCCAUCUGCAUGCCUGGGGCCUAUAUCCUUUGGUCCACUCACCUCCCCACCGCUCCCCUAGUCCCUCAACAGGUAUGUCAUGCUUCAUUCCUGCAGGCAACUUUAAGAGAUGCUCAGAUGUUGCUUGGGGAAUGACCAGAACCUGCUAUGACCCCAUUCAAAUGCAACAGACUCAUCUGAGCCCUGAGACCCCAGCUCCUGCCGGGAGAGCCUCUGCUCCUUCUCUGCCUGGAAUGCCCCAGGAAGGACUGUGGCCUCCUGUGCCUUUGCCACCUCUUGCGAGGCUGAGUUGUGAGCCUCAUUCCUGCCAGCCUUCUUGGAUCUCUAGCAGCUCCCUCUCUGGCCAGUGGUUCUGACGGUCUACUGACUAUCCACUCACCAUCUCAAAAUUAAAAGUGGGAUUUUGCUUCUGGUACAAGUUUCUACUGCUCUUAGACUCAGACUUCUGCUAUAGGGCCUCCUCAUUCAGCUUCAGCCAGUCUCCUUUAUGUGAAGGGUUGGUUCAUUCCUUUGGCAUCUCUCUUCUUCACUAAGCCAAGUUUAAUGAGGUAUCUCCUCACAGCCCUCCUUUCUUCCCCCUGGGUCUGCCAGCUAAUGGGUCCUCUCUCCUGCUAUUUCUUCCAUCUGAACCAGGAUUUGGAAGGUAUACCACCUUAAGAUGGGUGUAGAGUCCCAGGAAAAUUCCAUCCUGCGUUUACUGGACAGAACUUUCUGCCAGCUACACAGCACCGAAGAAUUGCUUUUGAAAAUGAGAUCUAUUGCUGGCAAGAAGAUCAAUUCAAGUGGUAAAAGUAUAUGACAAUCUCUAAGUGUAUAUAUACUUAUAUGUAAAAAAAAAUACAAAGAAAAAUUUACCAAAUUCCCAUAAAAUACAUCUAAUUCAGUAUGAAAGCUCUGCCUCUCCACGGACAUCUUCCCGUGGGUUUUCUUUUUGUACAAAAUAUCCCCCAAAUCAAAACAAAACACACACACACGAUACACACACACACACACACACACGCACACAUACCCACAAUUACAUUUUCUGUGACAAUUACCAAAAAAAAAAAAAAAAAAUCCUAGUGCAAAUAUAAAGCUCUGUAAACCUGGUCCUAUGAGAAUCUAAUGUUAGUAAACAGCAGGAAAGCCGCCGGCCCCGUCGACCCGAGAGAGCUCACAUCAUGGUCUCCACAAUGAUGUGGGUCGGUUUCACGAGAGCGCCGUUCAUGACGGUGCGAGAGUUGUAAGGUGUGGCUCCCUCGCGCUCACAGCCCAGCGGUUGGGUUCCCUUGGGGUCAGCAGGUACUUGACUCUCUGGAGAAGGAUGACAGGAGUGAGGGGGAAACGUCAGGCGGCCUGGUCUCCCCUUCGCCAGGGCCAUCUGCCUCCUCCUGAAUUGGCUCAUGUGCUGUUUGGUCUUUGGUAAACUCACACCCUCUCUGAUCUCCUGUUUUUGUCCUUUUUGGAAAUAACGGAAUUGAACUAAAGCGCUCCUAAGGUCCCGCUAGGCCCUGACUCAAGGCGGAAUUCCUGUUGGUGGUUUCCUUCCUUGGCCAAACCCCUGCUUACGUUCCUACAGGGACGGGGGACUCAACCUUCAUGUGCUUUUUUUCUUCUAUGGAACUAAAAUAUGCCUCCCUGUGAUUCUCUCCCCCUGAUUUCUCUGCCUUGCAAAGCAGCAGUUGAGUUCCUCUCAUUUGUAUGCCCUGAGUUGGACAACUGUCUGCAGCCUCCAUGGCUCCCACCUUCCCCAAGGAGAAACUCCAAACUCCUCAGCCUCCCAUAAGCUACACUUCCUGCCUUCUUGCAGAGACAGGUCUUCCCUAGCUUCCUGAAGGCAUCCAGUCCUCCCAGCAGGGUUUACAUCUUAAGGGCUUGGAGAACCUUGCUCGCAUUUGAGCUGCCCUUCCAAGAGAUAGGAGCUGCAUGGGAAUUCUAGAUCACUCCUGAGCAGGGUGAGUUUUGUCCUCACAGUUGGUUGAGUGUCCCUCUCCAAGGAUACCCAGAAAAUCCAUGUCAGAACUGGGACUCAACCAGACUUCCACUCCCCAGUCCACCUCUUGCCAAGUGUCAACUCAGAGACUUGAAUAGGCCAGCAGUUGAAAGACAAACAAACAAAACAACAAGCUCUCUUUCUAGACAUUUAUAUUCAACUUAGGUAUGUUACAAAUUUUUAAAAGCUGCUUAUUAAAAGCUACAGUAUUUCAUUUAAAAACCCAGUUUUCGGUAAUCCCAGCACUUUGGGAAGCAGGAGGAUCGCUCAAGGUCAGGAUUUAAAGGCAGUCUGGGCAACAAAGUGAGACCCUAACUCUUAAAAAAAAAAUUAAAAAUUAGCCAGGCAUGGUGGUACGUGCCUGUAGUCCAAGUUACUCGGGAGGCUGAGGAAAGAGGAUUGCUUGAGCCCAGGAAUUUGAGGCUGUGAUUGAGCCACUGCACUCCAGCCUGGGCAAAGGAGCAAGACCCUGUCUCUAUUUUUUUUGUUUUUAAAUCCAGUUUUCCAUCUUUUCUUGAAAAGCUGCAAGAUCUGGCAACUCCGGGCCCAGGUCCCCUCCUUGUAGCACCUUCUCCAGUUUGCUCCCAGCCCUACCCCCAUGACUUCCCUCACCUGAGCCACCUGCCAGCUCUCCCUCCAUCACUUUGCCUCUCCACAUCCAUACAAUGGGCUGUGCCUGGGAGGGCGGAGGAGAGUCAAACCCCCAGGCAGCCACUUGGGGCUCUGCCUACACAGGAGGCUCAGGCAGAGCUGGAACCACCCUGGGACAGAGAUCUGGGUUUGCCAGAACCUGGCUCAGAGAGAAGCUCAUGGCUGGGAGGACACCUUGAUGACUUGUGCAGGUGGGAGCCCCUGAGGGGCACAUAAAGAAAGAUAGACAGAUGGUGGCUCAACUGCCUUCAGAGGGGCCUUUGGUGAAGUCAGAUUGGCACAGGAGGACGGGGUACCAGUGUGGGGUGAAGCCUGCCCUCACCCACUCCCCCACCUCUUUCCCCCAUGCCAACCCCACUCCACCCAAACUUCUAAAUGUGGGCUGGACCAAUAUUUUAAAAUGAGGCUUUAAAGGACACCAAGUUAGUGAUCUGUUGGGUGUCCCCCCGAACCAAUGGUAUGUAAUUGCUUUGGGCACUCACCAAUCAGAGCAGAGACCCCUAGACCAAUGAGAACCUUUAGAGACCCCUUGCUGUGCCCUAAUGAACCCUUUGGCUUCUGGACAGUAAGGACAUUCUGGAAAUUCUGGUUGGGUUGGCCUGGAGUAUUGUGGGGUCACCUGGAGGGCUCGGGACAGUCACUGUUCCCUGUCUGUCCCCAGGCCCAGUAUUUCAGUCUGUUAACAGCUCAUAGGGCCAUUUAGCGUUCUGGCUAAAGACUGGUUGGGGUCCUGCCCUCUGUCCUCUGAAAAAAUAGAAUGGGUCAAAAGCUCCAGAAUAACCCCAGGGGCCUCCCCAGUUUCAAGGAUUUCCUCCUGCCCUGCCAGCUUCCUCAGUCUCCCCUCCCUCCCCUGCCACUAGCACCACCUCCAGGCCAUUCCCCUGCCCAGGAGGAAACAGGACCCAGCCCAGCAGGGAGCCAGGGCCCCAGGACAUCCUGGCUCCAGAUUUUUAAAAGAGAAUAACAAUAAAAACAGCCCAGAACAAAACAGUGCACUCUUGGAGCCAGCCCAAGCUCAAAAGGUUAAGGGAGAUUCUGAGAAAAGAAUUUCUUGGAAAGAGUCGGGCCUUUGCCAGGGCCUGGGAUCUCCAGGGCUGUUGGAGGAAUUUCUGAGAGGAGGCUGAAGGUAGGUGGGGCCAGGGGAGGCCCCAGCAGGCACAGAGGCAGAGGUCUGGCUGCCGCCACAGAUCCGGAGAAGACCCCAGCAUGGGCUGGGAUGAUCCUAAAUUUGGCUCCUCAAUAAGAGAAGGCAUCUGGGUGGGGCUCAGGCUUCCUCCCUAGGCUCCUGGCUUUGUCCCACCGCUUCAGGAACAUGGCCCCACUGGUCCCAGGAUAAAGCCCCAGCUCUUAGCUUGGCAUCCAAAGCUACAGUCACCUCUCCAGCCUCACUGCCCACCCCAACCCUGCCAACACCAGGAACACCUUCCCUCUCACACUGUCCAUCUGGCAAGUUCCUCCUCACCCCACAGCCCGGCUUCCAAUGUCUCUAUAAAGCCUUCUCCCAUGUGAACUGUACUUGCUUCCCAUUUUCCCACAACGCACUCUCCUGCCCAUAAGCUGAACCACUGGAUGGGUGAGGGAACUAUGGCUCAGAGAGGGCAGGUGACUUGCCUGGGAUCACGCAGCAAACUGACAACAAUCACCUUUGGCCUCGCGUCUCCCACCUCCCCUGGCCCUGGGCCCAAGCACUUACCACAAGGAACGGCCCCUCAGUCUGGCAGAGGCGGAUGACGAUGACCAAGGGAACACAGAGCAUGGAGGAAAGGGCCAGGCUCCAGCCCAGCCCAAUGGCCCAGUUGGGGUACACGUAUGUUUUGUUGUAGGUCAGGGGUACAUACUUGACGAGCGAGAAGAUGAAACAUCCCUGCGGAGAGAUGGGGGCAGUCAGGAGAGGGGUCCUGGGCAUCGGGGAGUGGGGGGCUUCUGGGACUAGGACUGGCCUCAACCCGAGGGAAGGGUCUCUCUCCUUGGGAAAGGACUGGCUCAGAACUCACACCCCUCUCUGCUGCCAUAAGGAUCCCCCCGCCACCCCCGGUAAAAACACAGUAAGUCGUUUCCCUGCUCAAAACCCUUCUGUGGCUCCCAGUGCCAGCAGAUGCAGCCCAAACUCCUCGGUGCGGCCGGGAGUGUCAGCAGAAGCUGUACCCCUUCCUCCCUCAUCUGCCUCAGCUCUCCCUCCGUGUCCACACUCCAGCCACCCUGAAGAAUUCCUUCUAGCUCCUCUGUCACUGAACUCUGGGUCUUGGCAUGGGCUGUUUCCUCUGCCUGGCCCUCUUUCCCCCACAUCUUCUUCUCAUCCUAACUUGGCUCCACUGGGCCUGCCUUACUUGCCCAGGCACCACCCAUACC